AUUGAACGCUGGCGGCAUGCCUUACACAUGCAAGUCGAACGGUAACGCGGGGCAACCUGGCGACGAGUGGCGAACGGGUGAGUAAUGCAUCGGAACGUGCCCAGAAGUGGGGGAUAGCCCGGCGAAAGCCGGAUUAAUACCGCAUGAGACCUGAGGGUGAAAGCGGGGGAUCGCAAGACCUCGCGCUUUUGGAGCGGCCGAUGUCAGAUUAGCUAGUUGGUGGGGUAAAGGCCUACCAAGGCGACGAUCUGUAGCUGGUCUGAGAGGACGACCAGCCACACUGGGACUGAGACACGGCCCAGACUCCUACGGGAGGCAGCAGUGGGGAAUUUUGGACAAUGGGCGCAAGCCUGAUCCAGCCAUGCCGCGUGCGGGAAGAAGGCCUUCGGGUUGUAAACCGCUUUUGUCAGGGAAGAAACGCUCUGGGCUAAUACCCUGGGGUAAUGACGGUACCUGAAGAAUAAACACCAGCUAACUACGU
RNAcentral lists this ribosomal RNA (481 nucleotides) under uncultured bacterium. RNAcentral describes it as "partial 16S ribosomal RNA". It matches the Rfam family "Bacterial small subunit ribosomal RNA", at positions 29 to 506 of the family's 1533-position model. The record is from RNAcentral.